RNAcentral lists this ribosomal RNA (500 nucleotides) under uncultured bacterium. Its description in RNAcentral is "partial 16S ribosomal RNA". It matches the Rfam family "Bacterial small subunit ribosomal RNA", at positions 30 to 523 of the family's 1533-position model. The record is from RNAcentral.
AUUGAACGCUGGCGGCAUGCUUUACACAUGCAAGUCGAACGGUAACAGGGUGCUUGCACCGCUGACGAGUGGCGAACGGGUGAGUAAUGCGUCGGAACGUGCCGAGUAGUGGGGGAUAACGCAGCGAAAGUUGUGCUAAUACCGCAUACGUACUGAGGUAGAAAGUGGGGGACCUUCGGGCCUCACGCUAUUCGAGCGGCCGACGGCUGAUUGGCUAGUAGGUGAGGUAAAGGCUCACCUAGGCGACGAUCGGUAGCGGGUCUGAGAGGAUGAUCCGCCACACUGGGACUGAGACACGGCCCAGACUCCUACGGGAGCCAGCAGUGGGGAAUUUUGGACAAUGGGCGAAAGCCUGAUCCAGCCAUGCCGCGUGUCUGAAGAAGGCCUUCGGGUUGUAAAGGACUUUUGUCAGGGAGGAAAUCCCUAGUGCUAAUAACACUGGGGGAUGACAGUAUCUGAAGAAUAAGCACCGGCUAACUACGUGCCAGCAGCCGCCGCAG